GUAAUUGAGUGCUCAAGUGCACUAGCUAAGUUACUUCAACUGAAGCAAGACGAAGUCUUGAUCGAAUCAACUGGUGUAAUUGGUCAAAGAAUAAAGAAGGAAGCACUUCUCAACUCACUCCCACAUCUUGUUAAACAGCUUUCACCAACCGUGGAGGGGGCAAAUUCUGCAGCUGUAGCUAUAACGACCACUGAUCUUGUUAGUAAGAGUGUGGCUGUUGAAACAGAAGUAAGAGGAACUCGAAUCAGAGUUGGGGGCAUGGCAAAGGGUUCUGGGAUGAUUCAUCCUAACAUGGCAACAAUGCUUGGUGUAGUAACUACAGAUGCCUCAGUUACAAGUGAUGUUUGGAGAAAGAUGGU
Molecule: unclassified non-coding RNA, 359 nt
Filed under: Hevea brasiliensis (rubber tree)
Lineage: Eukaryota; Viridiplantae; Streptophyta; Magnoliopsida; Malpighiales; Euphorbiaceae
Source: RNAcentral